UACGGAGGGUGCGAGCGUUGUCCGGAAUCAUUGGGCGUAAAGGGCGCGUAGGUGGCCCGGUCAGUUCGUGGUGAAAGCGCGGGGCUCAACUCCGCGUCGGCCAUGAAUACUGCUGGGCUUGAGCACUGUAGAGGCAGGCGGAAUUCCGGGUGUAGCGAUGGAAUGCGUAGAGAUCCGGAAGAACACCGGUGGCGAAGGCGGCCUGCUGGGCAGUAGCUGACACUGAGGCGCGACAGCGUGGGGAGCAAACAGG
RNAcentral lists this ribosomal RNA (253 nucleotides) under uncultured bacterium. RNAcentral describes it as "partial 16S ribosomal RNA". It matches the Rfam family "Bacterial small subunit ribosomal RNA", at positions 524 to 776 of the family's 1533-position model. The record is from RNAcentral.